UUCAACUUGAGAGUUUGAUCCUGGCUCAGAACGAACGCUGGCGGCAGGCCUAACACAUGCAAGUCGAGCGAACCCUUCGGGGUUAGCGGCG
Molecule: ribosomal RNA, 91 nt
Filed under: Paracoccus denitrificans
Lineage: Bacteria; Pseudomonadati; Pseudomonadota; Alphaproteobacteria; Rhodobacterales; Paracoccaceae
Description: 16S rRNA. Bacterial SSU
Rfam family: Bacterial small subunit ribosomal RNA
Source: RNAcentral